Molecule: ribosomal RNA, 1261 nt
Filed under: Salmonella enterica
Lineage: Bacteria; Pseudomonadati; Pseudomonadota; Gammaproteobacteria; Enterobacterales; Enterobacteriaceae
Description: partial 23S ribosomal RNA
Rfam family: Bacterial large subunit ribosomal RNA
Source: RNAcentral
GGUUAAGCGACUAAGCGUACACGGUGGAUGCCCUGGCAGUCAGAGGCGAUGAAGGGCGUGCUAAUCUGCGAUAAGCGCCGGUAAGGUGAUAUGAACCGUUAUAACCGGCGAUACCCGAAUGGGGAAACCCAGUGUGAUUCGUCACACUAUCAUUAACUGAAUCCAUAGGUUAAUGAGGCGAACCGGGGGAACUGAAACAUCUAAGUACCCCGAGGAAAAGAAAUCAACCGAGAUUCCCCCAGUAGCGGCGAGCGAACGGGGAGGAGCCCAGAGCCUGAAUCAGCAUGUGUGUUAGUGGAAGCGUCUGGAAAGGCGCGCGAUACAGGGUGACAGCCCCGUACACAAAAGCGCAUGUGCUGUGAGCUCGAUGAGUAGGGCGGGACACGUGGUAUCCUGUCUGAAUAUGGGGGGACCAUCCUCCAAGGCUAAAUACUCCUGACUGACCGAUAGUGAACCAGUACCGUGAGGGAAAGGCGAAAAGAACCCCGGCGAGGGGAGUGAAAAAGAACCUGAAACCGUGUACGUACAAGCAGUGGGAGCACCCUUUGGGGUGUGACUGCGUACCUUUUGUAUAAUGGGUCAGCGACUUAUAUUCUGUAGCAAGGUUAACCGUAUAGGGGAGCCGAAGGGAAACCGAGUCUUAACCGGGCGUUAAGUUGCAGGGUAUAGACCCGAAACCCGGUGAUCUAGCCAUGGGCAGGUUGAAGGUUGGGUAACACUAACUGGAGGACCGAACCGACUAAUGUUGAAAAAUUAGCGGAUGACCUGUGGCUGGGGGUGAAAGGCCAAUCAAACCGGGAGAUAGCUGGUUCUCCCCGAAAGCUAUUUAGGUAGCGCCUCGUGAAUUCAUCUCCGGGGGUAGAGCACUGUUUCGGCUAGGGGGCCAUCCCGGCUUACCAACCCGAUGCAAACUGCGAAUACCGGAGAAUGUUAUCACGGGAGACACACGGCGGGUGCUAACGUCCGUCGUGAAGAGGGAAACAACCCAGACCGCCAGCUAAGGUCCCAAAGUCAUGGUUAAGUGGGAAACGAUGUGGGAAGGCCCAGACAGCCAGGAUGUUGGCUUAGAAGCAGCCAUCAUUUAAAGAAAGCGUAAUAGCUCACUGGUCGAGUCGGCCUGCGCGGAAGAUGUAACGGGGCUAAACCAUGCACCGAAGCUGCGGCAGCGAACGUAUCACUUAAAGCGAUUCAGCGGGUUACGAUUGACGGAGCGAAGCGACGUCAAAGCGUAUACAAAGUCGAGUCGGUUUAAGGAUACGUU